UACCUUAUAUCGCUUAAUUCAUGAAGAAGUGGGGGACCCAUUUUUGUGCUUGGCACUUGGGGUGAAUCCUUCGUUAGAGGGUAGGGCUACUUUCAAGGCCCGAGUCCGACAGCUAACCCCAUCAGCGUUUUGAAAGGAGGU
Molecule: small RNA, 141 nt
Filed under: Pseudobacillus badius
Lineage: Bacteria; Bacillati; Bacillota; Bacilli; Caryophanales; Bacillaceae
Description: Bacillus badius c-di-AMP sequence
Rfam family: c-di-AMP riboswitch aptamer (ydaO/yuaA leader)
About the family: This family represents a conserved RNA structure found upstream of the ydaO and yuaA genes in Bacillus subtilis and related genes in other bacteria. The ydaO/yuaA element is thought to act as a genetic "off" switch for the ydaO and yuaA genes in its native state. It is believed that the element may be triggered during osmotic shock leading to activation of ydaO, a predicted amino acid transporter gene, and members of the yuaA-yubG operon which code for KtrA and KtrB K+ transporters.
Source: RNAcentral